This 1451-nucleotide ribosomal RNA is filed under the name uncultured organism. RNAcentral's name for it is "SSU rRNA". It matches the Rfam family "Bacterial small subunit ribosomal RNA". The record is from RNAcentral.
GCGGCAUGCCUUACACAUGCAAGUCGAACGGCAGCACGGGUGCUUGCACCUGGUGGCGAGUGGCGAACGGGUGAGUAAUACAUCGGAACAUGUCCUGUAGUGGGGGAUAGCCCGGCGAAAGCCGGAUUAAUACCGCAUACGAUCUACGGAUGAAAGCGGGGGACCUUCGGGCCUCGCGCUAUAGGGUUGGCCGAUGGCUGAUUAGCUAGUUGGUGGGGUAAAGGCCUACCAAGGCGACGAUCAGUAGCUGGUCUGAGAGGACGACCAGCCACACUGGGACUGAGACACGGCCCAGACUCCUACGGGAGGCAGCAGUGGGGAAUUUUGGACAAUGGGCGAAAGCCUGAUCCAGCAAUGCCGCGUGUGUGAAGAAGGCCUUCGGGUUGUAAAGCACUUUUGUCCGGAAAGAAAUCCUUGGCUCUAAUACAGUCGGGGGAUGACGGUACCGGAAGAAUAAGCACCGGCUAACUACGUGCCAGCAGCCGCGGUAAUACGUAGGGUGCGAGCGUUAAUCGGAAUUACUGGGCGUAAAGCGUGCGCAGGUGGUUUGCUAAGACCGAUGUGAAAUCCCCGGGCUCAACCUGGGAACUGCAUUGGUGACUGGCAGGCUAGAGUAUGGCAGAGGGGGGUAGAAUUCCACGUGUAGCAGUGAAAUGCGUAGAGAUGUGGAGGAAUACCGAUGGCGAAGGCAGCCCCCUGGGCCAAUACUGACGCUCAUGCACGAAAGCGUGGGGAGCAAACAGGAUUAGAUACCCUGGUGGUCCACGCCCUAAACGAUGUCAACUAGUUGUUGGGGAUUCAUUUCCUUAGUAACGUAGCUAACGCGUGAAGUUGACCGCCUGGGGAGUACGGUCGCAAGAUUAAAACUCAAAGGAAUUGACGGGGACCCGCACAAGCGGUGGAUGAUGUGGAUUAAUUCGAUGCAACGCGAAAAACCUUACCUACCCUUGACAUGGUCGGAAUCCCGCUGAGAGGUGGGAGUGCUCGAAAGAGAACCGGCGCACAGGUGCUGCAUGGCUGUCGUCAGCUCGUGUCGUGAGAUGUUGGGUUAAGUCCCGCAACGAGCGCAACCCUUGUCCUUAGUUGCUACGCAAGAGCACUCUAAGGAGACUGCCGGUGACAAACCGGAGGAAGGUGGGGAUGACGUCAAGUCCUCAUGGCCCUUAUGGGUAGGGCUUCACACGUCAUACAAUGGUCGGAACAGAGGGUUGCCAACCCGCGAGGGGGAGCUAAUCCCAGAAAACCGAUCGUAGUCCGGAUUGCACUCUGCAACUCGAGUGCAUGAAGCUGGAAUCGCUAGUAAUCGCGGAUCAGCAUGCCGCGGUGAAUACGCUCCCGGGUCUUGUACACACCGCCCGUCACACCAUGGGAGUGGGUUUUACCAGAAGUGGCUAGUCUAACCGCAAGGAGGACGGUCACCACGGUAGGAUUCAUGACUGGGGUGAAGUCAU